AGCGAACGCUGGCGGCAGGCCUAACACAUGCAAGUCGAACGAACUCUUCGGAGUUAGUGGCGGACGGGUGAGUAACACGUGGGAACGUGCCUUUAGGUUCGGAAUAACUCAGGGAAACUUGUGCUAAUACCGAGUGUGCCCUUCGGGGGAAAGAUUUAUCGCCUUUAGAGCGGCCCGCGUCUGAUUAGCUAGUUGGUGAGGUAAAGGCUCACCAAGGCGACGAUCAGUAGCUGGUCUGAGAGGAUGAUCAGCCACAUUGGGACUGAGACACGGCCCAAACUCCUACGGGAGGCAGCAGUGGGGAAUCUUGCGCAAUGGGCGAAAGCCUGACGCAGCCAUGCCGCGUGAAUGAUGAAGGUCUUAGGAUUGUAAAAUUCUUUCACCGGGGACGAUAAUGACGGUACCCGGAGAAGAAGCCCCGGCUAACUUCGUG
This 433-nucleotide ribosomal RNA is filed under the name uncultured bacterium. RNAcentral describes it as "partial 16S ribosomal RNA". It matches the Rfam family "Bacterial small subunit ribosomal RNA", at positions 29 to 507 of the family's 1533-position model. The record is from RNAcentral.